AACGAACGCUGGCGGCAUGCCUAACACAUGCAAGUCGAACGAGACCUUCGGGUCUAGUGGCGCACGGGUGCGUAACGCGUGGGAACCUGCCCUUAGGUUCGGAAUAACUCCCCGAAAGGGGUGCUAAUACCGGAUAAUGUCUUCGGACCAAAGAUUUAUCGCCUUUGGAUGGGCCCGCGUUGGAUUAGCUAGUUGGUAGGGUAAAAGCCUACCAAGGCGACGAUCCAUAGCUGGUCUGAGAGGAUGAUCAGCCACACUGGGACUGAGACACGGCCCAGACUCCUACGGGAGGCAGCAGUGGGGAAUAUUGGACAAUGGGCGAAAGCCUGAUCCAGCAAUGCCGCGUGAGUGAUGAAGGCCUUAGGGUUGUAAAGCUCUUUUACCCGGGAUGAUAAUGACAGUACCGGGAGAAUAAGAACCGGCUAACUCCGUG
This 433-nucleotide ribosomal RNA is filed under the name uncultured bacterium. RNAcentral describes it as "partial 16S ribosomal RNA". It matches the Rfam family "Bacterial small subunit ribosomal RNA", at positions 29 to 507 of the family's 1533-position model. The record is from RNAcentral.